GGAGUCGGCCAGACAGUCGCGUCGCGCAAGCGCCGAGGAAAGUCCGGGCUCCACAGGACAAGGUGCCAGGUAACGCCUGGGGGGCGCGAGCCUACGGACAGUGCCACAGAAAAUACACCGCCCAAGUGCUGCGGCACCGGUAAGGGUGAAAAGGUGCGGUAAGAGCGCACCGCGCGGGUGGUAACACGCCGCGGCACGGUAAACCCCACCUGGAGCAAGACCAAAUAGGAAAGCAGGCGACGCAAGUCGUGACACGUGGUCCGCGUGGCUUUCGGGUAGGUUGCAUGAGGCACACGGCGACGUGUGUCCCAGAUGAAUGGCUGUCCCAGACAGAACCCGGCUUACCGGCCGACUCCGACU
RNAcentral lists this RNase P RNA (360 nucleotides) under Gammaproteobacteria bacterium. Its description in RNAcentral is "RNase P RNA component class A". It matches the Rfam family "Bacterial RNase P class A". Rfam says of the family: Ribonuclease P (RNase P) is a ubiquitous endoribonuclease, found in archaea, bacteria and eukarya as well as chloroplasts and mitochondria. Its best characterised activity is the generation of mature 5'-ends of tRNAs by cleaving the 5'-leader elements of precursor-tRNAs. The record is from RNAcentral. Lineage: Bacteria; Pseudomonadati; Pseudomonadota; Gammaproteobacteria.